GGGGAUGAUCGGCAUAGACAAUCGCCGGCGUCCGUUCGUGCGGCUCGAGCUCCGAUGACUCGUAAAUCCGUCGGAAACUCCGAAAUGCCAACGUCAAAUCGCCGUAUUUCUCGGCACGCGACUUCGCAUUCGCCCUCGCUUAAGUAGGGCGCGUCUCCUCGAGGGGAUCCAUACCUUGAGGCUGAUGUCAUAACCCGGAUGUAGGGCAGGGCGCCUUCUCACCGCCCGGCCCGAAACAAUGAGAUCGCGGCCAUGCGUUCUGCUCGAUCUUCGAGCAUGUCCGUCAGACUUAAGAUCGCGCUACAGCCGUAGAGUCGUCCGGUUCGCCUCGAUUGCACGCGGGUUCGAUUCCCGCCAUCUCCACAA
This 366-nucleotide transfer-messenger RNA is filed under the name Patescibacteria group bacterium. It matches the Rfam family "transfer-messenger RNA". Rfam says of the family: Bacterial tmRNA, also known as 10Sa RNA or SsrA, is named for its dual tRNA and mRNA-like properties. Its role is to liberate the mRNA from a stalled ribosome. The record is from RNAcentral.